AGGCAGCAGUGAGGAAUAUUGGACAAUGGGCGCAAGCCUGAUCCAGCCAUGCCGCGUGCAGGAUGACGGUCCUAUGGAUUGUAAACUGCUUUUAUACAGGAAGAAACCCUACCACGUGUGGUAGAUUGACGGUACUGUAGGAAUAAGGAUCGGCUAACUCCGUGCCAGCAGCCGCGGUAAUACGGAGGAUCCAAGCGUUAUCCGGAAUCAUUGGGUUUAAAGGGUCCGUAGGCGGUUUAAUAAGUCAGUGGUGAAAGCCCAUCGCUUAACGAUGGAACGGCCAUUGAUACUGUUAGACUUGAAUUAUUAGGAAGUAACUAGAAUAUGUAGUGUAGCGGUGAAAUGCUUAGAUAUUACAUGGAAUACCAAUUGCGAAGGCAGGUUACUAAUAAUAUAUUGACGCUGAUGGACGAAAGCGUGGGGAGCGAACAGGAUUAGAUACCCGUGUAGUCCACGCCGUAAACGAUGGAUACUAGCUGUUGGGCGCAAGCUCAGUGGCUAAGCGAAAGCGAUAAAGUAUCCC
RNAcentral lists this ribosomal RNA (523 nucleotides) under uncultured Bacteroidota bacterium. RNAcentral describes it as "bacterial SSU rRNA". It matches the Rfam family "Bacterial small subunit ribosomal RNA", at positions 346 to 870 of the family's 1533-position model. The record is from RNAcentral. Lineage: Bacteria; Pseudomonadati; Bacteroidota.